AGCUGAAGACAGACGCCUCAAAUCGCGGGGGCACAGGGAGAGCGGUCAGAUGUCCUGCAGGCAGAACCCCAGGGGAACCACUCCCAGGGGUGAAACCGUGCUGACUCGGAGGUAGUGUGCCACUUGGAAGCAGUGGGACCGUCUGGUGGUAGAUGCUUCACUUCUUCAUUUAUGACUCCACAUUCGUGGAAGAGAGCAAAGAACAAACCUAUUUCUGAAAUGUUUCUGGCUUCCAUAUGCCUCUGGCUUUUAGGAAAGCACAAGUGGCCUGCUUGGGGUCCCUCCUGGCUUGCUGGACUUCCCGUCACUUUUUGCCUGUCGUCUUCCAUGGUUCCUGCAUGGAUCUUGUUGCCUCAGGACCAAGCUGCCUUUGCUUUUCCACAAUGUCCAUGACUAUGUGGGGAAGGAAAUGGACCCUCAUGCUGACAGCGCAUGUCCACGUUACUAGUUUCCUUUAGAAAACCAUCUCCAAUGGGCCAGGCACGGUGGCUCAUGACUGUAAUCCCAGCACUUUGGGAGGCCAAGGCUGGCAGAUCACAAGGUCAUGAAAUCGAGACCAGCCUGACCAACAUGGUGAAACCCCAUCUCUACUAAUAAUACAAGAAUUAGCUGGGCAUGGUGGCACGCACCUGUAAUCCCAGCUACUCAGGAGGCUGAGGCAGGAGAAUUGCUUGAACCCGGGAGGUGGAGGUUGCAGUGAGCCGAGAUUGCGCCACUGCACUCCAGCCUGGUUAGGGAGCGAGACUGGUCUCAGAAAAAAAAAAAAAAAAGAAAGAAAACCAUCUCCAACCUUAACUCCAGGGGCGCCAUUCAUACCCUGUUCUAUAGAACCUGCCCAAGGUGUGCUCCUGAAGAAAGGGAAGGUGCUGACCUAAUGGCUCCGAGAACAGUAUUUUUGAUAAAGUGCAGUCUCUCAGCAAGUGUCCUCAAAGUGCUGGCCUUGCUCAUGCAGUAGAGCUGGGAAAGCUUAUUUGGGACUUGGGUACCACAUAAGAAAUAAAGAGGGAAUGUCAUACUAGCAGGACUUUUGACAAAAAAAGCCUGGUAUGAGAGGCCCUGACACUAAUAUGAUUCCUAUUCUCACUCAAGUUAAUAGAUCAUUUAACCAAUAGCAAAAAGAACCGGAAGUGUCCUCCCAAAGAGUACACUAUGGAAAGGGUGGGGGGAUGGAGUACCUUUACAGUGGAGAAAAGUACCCUUACACCACCUCUGCAGGGGAUCUAGGUCAACAUCAGCAGUUACAAGUUACAUUGACAGCAUGUGGCCUUGAUAUGAUGUGAUGAGAAUGGCUCUUCACCCCUGUGGUCUUCCUCCACAAAACCCAUAGCCCCAGUUAAAUCAUGAAAAAAGCAUCAGACAGACCCCAAUUGUGACCAGCACUCCUCAAAAUUAUCAGGGUCCUCAAAAAAAGGAAAGUCUGAGAAACUGUCACAGUCAAGAGGAGCCUCAGGAGACAAUGAAAACUAAGUGUCAUGUGGAAGUUUGAACAGAAUCCUGGAACAGAAAAUGGACAUCAGGUAAAAACUAAGAAAAUCUAGAUAGUGUGGACUUCAGUGAAUAACAAUGUGUUGAUAUUGAUUCAUUAAUUGUGACAAAUCCACUACGCUAAUUGCCUUAGUCUGUUCAGGCUGCAAUAACAAAAUACCAUGGACUGAGUGGCUUAUACACAACAGAAAUUUAUUUCUCACAGUUCUGGAUGCUGGGAAGUCUAAGACCAAGGCACUGCCAGAUUUGGUGUCUGGUGAAGGUCCAUCUCCUGGUCCAAACAUGGCUCCUUCUCACUGUGUCUUCCCAUGGUGGAAGGGACAAGAAUUUCUAAUUCCACUCAUGAGUGCUCUGAUCCCAAGACCUAAUCACCUACCAAAGCCCCCACCUUCUGAUAGCAUUACCUUGGGGCUUAGGAUUUGAACAUAUGAACUGGGGAGGACUCUGGGGAAACACAUUUAAACCACAGCACUAAUGUAGGAUGUUAAUAAUAAAGGAAACUGGGUGUGGGGUUUAUGGAAACUCUCUUAACUUGGUAUGAGGUAUAUGCAAACUCUCUUUAAUAUCUUCAGAAUUUUCCUGUAAACUUUAACUUUAAUCUGAACUUCUAAAAAUUAUAGUUAUACACGCAUACACAGAGAGAGAGAGAGAGAGAGCGAGAGAGAGAGAGAGAGAGAGAGAGAAGUUAUACAUAGCCUUCGUGUUGCAGGUCUAGCCUACACUUCUAGCCUUAUUCCCCCUGUUUAAACCUUAUAAGUCAGCCAAUAUAAUGAAAUUUCCUUAAGGUCAAGAUGCUACUAUGUUUAUUCUCCAAAAAAUUUGAAAAAUAAAUGAGUUUUCUUAAUUUCUUAGAAGACUCAAUAAAGUUGAGAUCAUAAAGUGUAAGUUAAGGAAGAAUUCUACCUGAAGAGACUCAUGAAACAAAAAUGAUGGUGAGGAAAGGGAGUGCUGUUUCAUUGACUAGAAAAGAAUUAGCAAAUUAAUCAGCACAUUGCCUUUUAAAUGUUCCACUUCAAGAGAUGCACACAUUUUCAGGCCCAAUGGUAUCGUCACUUCCAAUAAAGCUUUAUUGGUGGUAUCUGGAGAACGCUAUCCUAUUAUAUCCUUGGCUAAGCUCACAUAUGAGAGACUCUUUAAAGGAACAAUGCAAUAGUCUUGAUAUUCAUUGCAGACACUGGUUCUUGCCUACUCAAUAAUUAUUCCCUCACCUUCCUGACAAAGAACCCGACUUGUUCAGGUAUCUCACAAUGUGCUCAGGAAAGGUGGGCUCUUCCCCAGGUCCAUGUGGUUAACCAGAACUGCUCUAAAACAUCGUGAGAAUCCCAUUCACCUUUGCCAGUGAUUGGUUUAAGGGUAGGGAGAUUACCCAAUUCUGAACAAUGAUAUAGGAGAAGAAAGAAAUUUACUAGGGGAUUGAUGGGAACAGGUUAUUUUGUUCACUAUACAGGGACACAUAGUGAGAGGUGACAAUGUGCUAGCAGCCCUCACUCACUCUCAGCACCUCCUCAAGUGUGGGCGUGUGGCGUGGGACUGGCAGGCAGCUCUGCCCAUGGCCCCGAUGUGGGAUCCACUAGGCGAAGCCAGCUGGGCUCCUGAGUCAGGUGGGGACUUGGAGAACUUUUAUGUCUAGCUAAAGGUUUGUAAAUGCACCAAUUAGCACUUUGUGUCUAGCUCAAGGUUUGUAAAUGCACCAAUCAGCACCCUGUGUCUAGCUCAAGGUUUGUAAAUGCACCAAUCAGUGCUCUGUGUCUAGCUAAUCUAGUGGGGACUUGGAGAACUUUUACAUCUAGCUAGAGGAUUGUAAAUACACCAAUCAGCACUCUGUGUCUAGUUCAGGGAUUGUAAAUGCACCAAUCAGCACCCUGUCAAAACAGACCAAUCAGCUCUCUGUAAAACGGACCAAUCAGUUCUCUGUAAAAUGGGCCAAUCAGCAGGAUGUGGGUGGGGUCAGAUAAAGGAAUAAAAGCAGGCUGCCCAAGCCAGCAGUGGCAACCCGCUGGGGUGCCCUUCCACACUGUAGAAGCUCUGUUCUUUCGCUCUUUGCAAUAAAUCUUGCUGCUGCUAACUCUUUGGGUCCACACUGCCUUUAUGAGCUGUAACACUCACCGCGAAGGUCUGCAACUUCACUCCUGAAGCCAGCGAGACCACGAACCCACCAGAAGGAAGAAACUCAGAACACAUCUGAACAUCAGAAGGAACAAGCGCUGGACCCACCACCUUUAAGAACUGUAACACUCCCCACGAGAGUCCACAGCUUCAUUCUUGAAGUCAGUGAGACCAAGAACCCACCAAUUCCGGACGCUUUUUGGCGACCCAGAUGGGACUAUCGCCUAUCACCAAGUCGUGAGACCAUUGCCUAUCACUGAGUGGUGAGACUGUCACCUAUCGCCAAGCAAAUCGAGGCCAUCAAGCUACAGAUGGUCUUACAAAUGGAACCCCAAAUGAGUUCAACUAACAACUUCUACCGAGGACACCUGGACUGACCUGCUGGCCCUUCCACUGGCCUAAAGAGUUCCCCUCUGGAGGACACUACAACUGCAGGGCCCCUUCAUCACCCCUAUCCAGCAGGAAGUAGCUAGAGCAGUCAUCGGCCAAAUUCCCAACAGCAGUUGGAGUGUCCAGUUUAGAGGGGGGAUUGAGAGGUGACAAUGUGCUAGCAGCCCUCGCUCACUCUCAGUGCCUCCUCAGCCUCGGCGUCCACUCUGGCCAUGCUCAAGGAGCCCUUCAGCCCACCACUGCACUGUGGGGGCCCCUCUUUGGGCUGGCUGAGGCCAGAGCCGGCUCCCUCUGUUUGUGGGGAGGUGUGGAGGGAGAGGCAUGGGCAGGAACUGGGGCCAGCACGAGUUCCGGGUGGGCGUGGGCUCAGCUGUGGAGGGUGCACCGGGUCCCCCAGCACUGUUGGCCCACCUGUGCCAUGCUCAAAUUCUUGCCGGGCCUCAGCCGCCUCCCUGCGGGGCAGGGCUUGGGACCUGCAGCCCGCCAUGCCCUAACCCCCCCUGCUCCACGGAGCCUGGUCCCAUCGACUACACAAUGGCAAAGGAGUGUGGGCACGCAGCAUGGGAUGGUCGGGCAACUCCUCACGUGGCCCUGGAGCGGGAUCCACUAGGCGAAGCCAGCUGGGCUCCUGAGUCAGGUGGGGACUUGGAGAACUUUUAUGUCUAACUAAAGGUUUGUAAAUGUGCCAAUCAGCACUUUGUGGCUAGCUCAAGGUUUGUAAAUGCACCAGUCAGCACACUGUGGCUAGCUCAAGGUUUGUAAAUGCACCAAUCAGUGCUCUGUGUCUAGCUAAUCUAGUAGGGACUUGGAGAACUUUUAUGUCUAGCUAGAGGAUUGUAAAUACACCAAUCAGCACUCUGUAUCUAGCUCAAGGUUUGUAAACGCACCAAUCAGCACCCUGUGUCUAGCUCAAGGUUUGUAGACGCACCAAUCAGCACUCUGUGUCUAGCUUAAGGUUUGUAAAUACACCAAUCAGUGCUCUGUGCCUUGCUAAUCUAGUGGGGACUUGGAGAACUUUUACGUCUAGCUAGAGGAUUGUAAAUACACCAAUCAGCACUCUGUGUCUAGCUCAGGGAUAGUAAAUUCACCAAUCAGCAUGCUGCCAAAGCAGACCAAUCAGCUCUCUGUAAAAUGGGCCAAUCAGCAGGAAGUGGGUGGGGUCAGAUAAGGGAAUGAAAGCAGGCUGCUGGAGCCAGCAGUGGCAACCCAUUGGGGUCCCCUUCCACGCUGUGGAAGCUUUGUUCUUUUGCUCUUUGCAAUAAAUCUUGAUGCUGCUCA
This is a long non-coding RNA of Homo sapiens (human), 5259 nucleotides long. RefSeq lists it as uncharacterized. The record is from RefSeq and is a predicted model, not a curated record. Lineage: Eukaryota; Metazoa; Chordata; Mammalia; Primates; Hominidae. The transcript has 3 exons.